CCUGACGACCUUAGCGAGUGGGAACCACCUGAACCCUUUUCGAACUCAGAAGUGAAACCGCUCAGCGCCGAUGAUAGUGUGGGGCUUCCCCAUGUGAAAGUAGGUCAUCGUCAGGC
RNAcentral lists this ribosomal RNA (116 nucleotides) under Marinospirillum sp. Lineage: Bacteria; Pseudomonadati; Pseudomonadota; Gammaproteobacteria; Oceanospirillales; Oceanospirillaceae. The record is from RNAcentral.